GCGUUAGUGAUGCUUGCGCUGGCCGCUC
This 28-nucleotide small RNA is filed under the name Bombyx mori (domestic silkworm). RNAcentral describes it as "ovarian small RNA-17029". The record is from RNAcentral. Lineage: Eukaryota; Metazoa; Arthropoda; Insecta; Lepidoptera; Bombycidae.